GACGAACGCUGGCGGCGUGCUUAACACAUGCAAGUCGAACGGAAAGGCCCUGCUUUUGUGGGGUGCUCGAGUGGCGAACGGGUGAGUAACACGUGAGUAACCUGCCCUUGACUUUGGGAUAACUUCAGGCAACUGGGGCUAAUACCGGAUAGGAGCUCCUGCUGCAUGGUGGGGGUUGGAAAGUUUCGGCGGUUGGGGAUGGACUCACGGCUUAUCAGCUUGUUGGUGGGGUAGUGGCUUACCAAGGCUUUGACGGGUAGCCGGCCUGAGAGGGUGACCGGCCACAUUGGGACUGAGAUACGGCCCAGACUCCUACGGGAGGCAGCAGUGGGGAAUAUUGCACAAUGGGCGGAAGCCUGAUGCAGCAACGCCGCGUGCGGGAUGACGGCCUUCGGGUUGUAAACCGCUUUCGCCUGUGACGAAGCGUGAGUGACGGUAAUGGGUAAAGAAGCACCGGCUAACUACGUG
RNAcentral lists this ribosomal RNA (468 nucleotides) under uncultured bacterium. Its description in RNAcentral is "partial 16S ribosomal RNA". It matches the Rfam family "Bacterial small subunit ribosomal RNA", at positions 28 to 507 of the family's 1533-position model. The record is from RNAcentral.